RNAcentral lists this ribosomal RNA (301 nucleotides) under uncultured bacterium. RNAcentral's name for it is "partial 16S ribosomal RNA". It matches the Rfam family "Bacterial small subunit ribosomal RNA", at positions 509 to 807 of the family's 1533-position model. The record is from RNAcentral.
CAGUAGCCACGGGAAUACGGAGGGAGCUAGCGUUGUUCGGAAUUACUGGGCGUAAAGCGCACGUAGGCGGCUAUUCAAGUCAGGGGUGAAAGCCCGGGGCUCAACCCCGGAACUGCCUUUGAAACUAGAUAGCUUGAAUCUUGGAGAGGCGAGUGGAAUUCCGAGUGUAGAGGUGAAAUUCGUAGAUAUUCGGAAGAACACCAGUGGCGAAGGCGACUCGCUGGACAAGUAUUGACGCUGAGGUGCGAAAGCGUGGGGAGCAAACAGGAUUAGAUACCCCCGUAGUCCCUGUCUCUUAUAC